RNAcentral lists this ribosomal RNA (450 nucleotides) under uncultured bacterium. Its description in RNAcentral is "bacterial SSU rRNA". It matches the Rfam family "Bacterial small subunit ribosomal RNA", at positions 354 to 796 of the family's 1533-position model. The record is from RNAcentral.
GUGGGGAAUAUUGGACAAUGGGGGAAACCCUGAUCCAGCGACGCCGCGUGUGUGAAGAAGGCCUGCGGGUUGUAAAGCACUUUCGGUGGGUACGAAAUAUGCCGGGCUAAUACCCCGGCAGGCUGACGUUACCCAAUGAAGAAGCACCGGCUAACUCUGUGCCAGCAGCCGCGGUAAUACAGAGGGUGCAAGCGUUAAUCGGAAUUACUGGGCGUAAAGCGCACGUAGGCGGCUUCGUAAGUCGGAUGUGAAAUCCCCGGGCUCAACCUGGGAACUGCAUUCGAGACUGCGGAGCUCGAGUAUGGAAGAGGAAGGCGGAAUUCCAGGUGUAGCGGUGAAAUGCGUAGAUAUCUGGAGGAACAUCAGUGGCGAAGGCGGCCUUCUGGUCCAAUACUGACGCUCAGGUGCGAAAGCGUGGGGAGCAAACAGGAUUAGAAACCCGGGUAGUCC